UCGCGAUCGUGGUGCGCGGGACGGCGCCGGGUCCUCCAGAGCCCGGGACCCCGGCGGCCGGCACGUUCGGGCCCGGUGCGGUCGCGGU
This 88-nucleotide transfer RNA is filed under the name Microbacterium sp. Bi128. RNAcentral describes it as "tRNA-Trp". The record is from RNAcentral. Lineage: Bacteria; Bacillati; Actinomycetota; Actinomycetes; Micrococcales; Microbacteriaceae.